GAUGAAGAACGUAGCGAAAUGCGAUACUUGGUGUGAAUUGCAGAAUCCCGUGAACCAUCGAGUCUUUGAACGCAAGUUGCGCCCGAAGCCAUUAGGCCGAGGGCACGCCUGCCUGGGCGUCACACGUCGUUGCCCCCCCAUCUACUCCUUCGGGAUUGCGGGGGGCGGAUGAUGGCCUCCCGUGCGCCUCGUCGCGCGGUUGGCAUAAAUGCCAAGUCCUCGGCGACGCACGCCACGACAAUCGGUGGUUGCGAAACCUCGGUUGCCCGUCGUGUGCGGUCGUCGCGCAUCGAGGGCUCGAAAAAAUUGCCGGGCUCCGGCUCGGCUUUCAACGCGACCCCAGGUCAGGCGGGGUUACCCGCUGAAUUAAAGCAUAUCAAUAAGCGGAGGA
Molecule: unclassified non-coding RNA, 391 nt
Filed under: soil metagenome
Description: partial contains 5.8S ribosomal RNA, internal transcribed spacer 2, and large subunit ribosomal RNA
Rfam family: 5.8S ribosomal RNA (bases 1-122)
Source: RNAcentral